Papaver somniferum (opium poppy) is the source of this 2548-nucleotide long non-coding RNA. RefSeq lists it as uncharacterized. NCBI's taxonomy places the organism in Eukaryota, Viridiplantae, Streptophyta, Magnoliopsida, Ranunculales, Papaveraceae. The record is from RefSeq and is a predicted model, not a curated record. The transcript is spliced from 5 exons.
GCUAGUCACUUCUGAACUCUCUCAACUCUCUCUCUCCAUCGAAGAACAAGGAGAUCAAAAGUCUCAUCUCCACAUCAAGUAAUUUGGAUCAAGUGGUUUUACAUUUCGCUAACCCUAUCAUCUUCAGAUUCCAGCUUAUGGGUCCAAGGAAAAGGCUUCCUAAAGAAGAGGAAGUUAAAAGUUUUAAUGACAGCAUUGACAGGUGAAUUAUAAAUUUGUAAUUGAGUGCAGUUAAUUUCUUUACAACCCCUAAAUUUGCGUGCGUUCAGUUUUACCGUUUUUGUGGUUUGUAUCAGGUAUAUUCACCCUCCAAAGUUUAGGGCUAGAAAUGUGAAAAUAACAAUUUACUCAAGCUUACUCCAAUUAGCCGAAGUACGGGACUGUCUGUCCGUUGAUGAGCAAGCAAUAUUUAGUCGCACCGCAAUUGUCCAUCUACUUUCAGUGCCAGCAGAUUCAAAGUUCAGUGGCACCAUUUUGCAUUUCUUACUUUCGAGGAAAAUUCACGUGGAUGAUAAACCAGAUGAAAUGCACUUUAAGGUUGGUGCAAAAAUAUUGCAUUUUGGCAAGAGAGAAUUUGCUCUGGUAACAGGGCUUAGUUUCAAGAAACCGGAGAAAGGUUUUGUAUCUCCUCCCAAAUCCUCAUCCCUGAUGUGGACCCAUUUCCCCAACCAAUAUCGUGUAACUGGAUUAGAAGUGAAGGCUCUCCUCUUCAAAAAGAACUCUACUUUCCCAUCUCUAGACAGGGUGAAGUUGGCGUUACUUUUGGUUGUGCAUCGCUUCUUAAUGGGCUGUCCAGAUAGAGAUGCCACAAAUAUCAGUUACUGUCAUUUAGUUGACGACUGGAGGAUUUAACAAAUACCCUUGGGGCGAAGUAACAUUUGGUAGAAUUACAAAAUUUAGAUCACUACUACUUUAUCAACCCAACAAAGAGAACAGUGGUGCUGGUGGGGAAACGAAGUACAAGGUUGCCAGAAUCGCACAUGCCUUGUCGGUUUGGGCUCUCAAUAUCAUGCCUGGGAUGCUUAAUCUGUGUGAGAGAAAGAUUAAAAGGCUAGGCUGGCUACACAUGCUUUGCGUAUCAUGCACGCGAUCUCCCAAGUAUCUCUCUCUUCGAACAUUGGAAGUGAAUGACGUUCAUGUCCGCUUAGAUAUAAUGUGGCAAAAGGGUGAUGCAAAUCAGUUAAUAGUGCUUGGCUUAGAGGAAGGUACCCCCGAGAUAGAGGUUGUGGAUGGCGAAAGUUUCUGUAAAUUAUUUUUGUCCCUAUUAAAAUCAGUAUAACUGAAACAAAAAUCGCAGUUAAGUUCUUUUAUCCAGACAGAGGAAGAAAGACACGAAUACCACGGGGUGACUCUUUCCUUGAGAGGGAAGAUUACAAUCAAGGCCAUGAAGUCCCAGAAACGGCUCCUGUCUCUCUGUCCAAAAAGAGAAAGAUAAGUACAAAAGAGUCGCGCCCUUAUAAUGGAAAUAGAAUUGGUAACUAUGAACCUGAACAUCUUCCUUCAUGACUAUACCUGCCAUCCCCAUCCAGGAACCCGUGGUGAGAGAGAAUGAGAAUGUCAUUGCCCACACUAGUGUGAAGGAUUCUCACUGCAAGGAUGUAGCCAAAGGGAAUAUGUCAUCUUGUUCUCAAGCGAAAACUACGGGAAGGGAAUCGCUUGAAGUGGUUGAGGAUCAUGUGGAUGCUACAAUGGAUACGGCCUCUUCUAAGGGCCUGACUCCUGAUUCUACCUUAUUAAAUAUUUCGACUUCCAUAGAUGUUAUUCCUUCCCCACCAGGGUUUAUAAGGGCUUCAGCUCCAGAGAGAGUGGAAGGAUUUCAAUCUGUGGACGACUUCAAGAUCCUAGAAGAGCAUUUAAUUUUGUAUAAAAAGAUUUAUGAAAAGCAUGGGCAUAUGGCGACUAAAAAAGUCAUCAAGUUCAAUGAUGAUAUGUUACUCACAUGUGUUACCAGCUUAUUAAAGAUCAUCCUGGCAAUGGAAAAUGUGCGAGGUUCAGAAUUGAGUGAAGCAUUGCUGGUUAGAUGGCAAGGGUUUAUCAAAGAUGCCGAGACUUUGGAAUUUAAUAUUGAGUGGCGUCGCGAAGGAUUCGAUCGACGUAAGAACCACUGGAGGUCUUCAUUCUGGAUAGAUAGAGAAGUUGAAAGCCAUUCUCAAGUAUUGGAUGCAAUGCAGGUAAAAUAUGAUUGCCUAUCUACAAGAGAAGACGAACUUGAAACUGAACUUUACCUCUAAACUGAACUUUCAGAGGUAAAAGUUCAGAAAAGUAAAGCUGAAGCGACGAUUUCAUCUGAGCGGGAAGCUAUUCAAGAAAAGGUGACUGAGAAAAACAAAUUACGGUGUGAACCUGUUUCUAGGAAUAGUGCUUAGCUAAAUUUUUAUACUUGCGCCAUGGUUAAUCAAUGAUGUACAGUCGUCUGUCUUGUAAAUGGGUGUAUGUAGUUUUUAGCAGGACCUAUUUUUUAAAAAGGCAGUGCCCAGACAAGCUUGGACACUUAAGUUGCGGUGCAAAUUUUUUUUAGCAUUGUCACUUGUUAACUUACUGCUACCAG